GAUGUUCGAGAUAAUAAGAUAGUUCGUCACACUGUGUAUCUCCUGGUAACGCCUCGUGUUGUUGAGGAAGCACGAAAACAUUUUGAUUGUCCAGUUCUAGAGGGAAUGGAACUUGAAAAUCAAGGUGGUAUGGGCACUGAGCUCAACCAUUGGGAAAAAAGGUUAUUAGAGAAUGAAGCGAUGACUGGUUCUCACACUCAGAAUCGAGUACUCUCUCGAAUCACUCUGGCAUUAAUGGAGGACACCGGGUAAGACAGCUGUGACAAGAGGAUAUGAAUUGUUUAUGAAAAUGAAAUUAAUACUGAGCUUAUAGCUUAAGAAAAUGCUGACAUUUUAUGCUGAAGCAAAAUAUACUUAUUAAUUAUUUGAAUCUUGUACAGUUAGCUGUCCGUUAUUCAUACCAACUCCAUUCAUUCAUUCAAUAAAUACUUUUGUUGUUGGUUUUAAAAUAGGGUCUCACUCCUGUUGCGCAGGCUGGAGUGCAGUGGCAAUCUGGACUCACUAAUCCUGGACUUCCCGGGCUCAAGCAAUCCUCUCACCUCAGCUUCCUGAGUGGCUGGGACUACAGGCACAUGCCACCAUGCCUGGCUAACUUUUUGUAUUUUUAAUAGAGUCGGGGUUUUGUCAUGUUGCUCAGGUUCA
Molecule: small RNA, 642 nt
Filed under: Pan troglodytes (chimpanzee)
Lineage: Eukaryota; Metazoa; Chordata; Mammalia; Primates; Hominidae
Description: retained intron
Source: RNAcentral